Molecule: long non-coding RNA, 1289 nt
Organism: Chinchilla lanigera (long-tailed chinchilla)
Lineage: Eukaryota; Metazoa; Chordata; Mammalia; Rodentia; Chinchillidae
Exons: 5
Source: RefSeq, a predicted model, not a curated record
ACGACACAGAAGUGAGCUCACCCACAGAAGGUUGUGUGGAGGAGAGUGCCGCUUCCAACUGCUUUUCACAAAGGGUAGUUGGUGAGCAGUCAUACGCCUUUAUCUGCAACCAGCCCAAGGCUGAGGACAAGGAGUUCCUGAAUUACAUUCCCUUCUACAGCAAAAUGGUGCAUUCUGUGAAGACAGAGGCUGCGGCAUUCUAAUCUUCCGUCUCCUCCGUAGUGUCCAGCACAUGGCUUGGUACCUUGCAAACAGUAAGAAUAGAUUGUCAUCAGCAGGCACUAUCUGGUUUGAGCAUCACCCUUGAAAAGAAAAAUGAUCAACAUUCCUCAGAUAAUUGCUUUAAAGAGAAUUCGCUGAAAAGGAAGACAAUGCCAGAAAUAUUUCAGAGCAGACUUGAGAUACUUCAUUUGACAAAUUGCAUUUGAGUGACCACUUACCUAGGAGAUUCUCUGAUGGUGUUAUCCAUUGUAAACGGGCGGCCACCUGAUCCAGGUGAAAGAGAAGGGAUCGAACUCACAACCUCGCGCUGGCCGGGCAGGCACUUAUGCCACUGAGCUAUAUCCCUGGCUAAUUUAACUUCUUAAUGAGAAAAAAUUGUAAUGAAAAGAACCAUAAAAUGUUUCCAGUGGCUGCUGGGUGGAUUUCUGCUUUGCCUCCCUGUGCUAGUUUCUCCAGUGAUGCCUUGGGGCGUAUCUUCCAACCACCCCACCCACACCGUCCAGGAUUACCUUGGCCAGACCUUCAGAAUGAGAAAACAAGAGAACUGGCCCUCAGCAUGCAUUCUCAGAGCUGGAGGACUUUACACUGGGGAUGACACAGGAGACAGAAGAAAACCUGCUUACCACGUUCGUAGAAUAGCUUUCCGCUAGCCGCUUCCAGUGCAAAUCAUCUCACUGUGGAGUGAGACAGCUAAAGGUCACAGCCAUACUAUCACUAAUGCUUGUCUUGCAAUCUAUUCUCCAGUGAAAGGUGAACUCCAGAAGAACAUGCACUUUGGGGGACCCCCCCCAGCACCCAAGUCUGUGUCUCUACCUGGCAAGCUGUAGCCGUCAGUACCAGGGAGUCAGUAACUCUUUGUUGAAUGGAAUACGUUUUAUCAUCGCCCUUGUGGUAAGGAUAGCGAGCUUGAAGUCAUGGUACAAUGAACAAAUAUGGAACUAGAGGCCUUAACUACCACUGACCAUGUCCUGUGUACAAAUAGCCUCUCUACCUUGUACUUUGCUUGUCAGAAAAUUAAGAGACAUAAGGGGCUGGGGAUUUAGUUCAGCGGCAAAAGCGCUUGCCUG